Molecule: long non-coding RNA, 580 nt
Organism: Cuculus canorus (common cuckoo)
Lineage: Eukaryota; Metazoa; Chordata; Aves; Cuculiformes; Cuculidae
Exons: 4
Source: RefSeq, a predicted model, not a curated record
CCUUGCCAGAGAGCCAGACUUCUCAACUGGAACCAGUAUGAAUGCAAACUAUUAGAGAAGCUCCCAUGGAAACUUCCACUCUACCACCCACAUGGUCACUGCCCAGCCCUACUCCUCACAUGGGAGGCAGGGAAAUGUUUCAACAAGCCAGGAGAAAGAUGUAUGAAUGUUAGAAAUAAUAAAUACUACCAGUUGCAACAAGAAUACUAUGAGAUCUUCAAAGCUAAGGAGGCUUUUUUCAGCCUCUCUGCUAAACACCACUGCUGUGCCUGUCUCCACUAGCCUUCAUUUCUGGAUCAAAACUUAUUUCUCUUCCUUGAAGAAUACAGCUCUUUAUUAUGUCAUUUGUAACAACGGUGCUGUUAGGCUAAGGUAUAAGAACGGAACACUGAACAGCUUUAUGGCCCAUUGGUGGGAGAACAUCGCAAAUGAAAUGACAUGUAUACAGUAGGACCCUAGUUGGCAAAAAAAUCCCAUGAUUAAAAAAAUCUUUGUACUGAGUUUAAUAACUUUUUUUCACUCCAGCUAAGCAAUGAGCCCUGGAAAUAAACAGGUGAACACACCCCUGAUUGUGCCAUUG